CGUGUAGGCGGCUUGGUAAGUCAGAUGUGAAAGCCCAGGGCUCAACCCUGGAAGUGCAUUUGAUACUGCCAUGCUUGAGUAUGGGAGAGGAGAGCGGAAUUCCCAGUGUAGAGGUGAAAUUCGUAGAUAUUGGGAGGAACACCCGUGGCGAAGGCGGCUCUCUGGACCAAUACUGACGCUGAGACGCGAAAGCGUGGGGAGCAAACAGGAUUAGAUACCCUGGUAGUCC
RNAcentral lists this ribosomal RNA (229 nucleotides) under uncultured bacterium. RNAcentral describes it as "partial 16S ribosomal RNA". It matches the Rfam family "Bacterial small subunit ribosomal RNA", at positions 568 to 796 of the family's 1533-position model. The record is from RNAcentral.